This is a long non-coding RNA of Dendronephthya gigantea, 220 nucleotides long. RefSeq lists it as uncharacterized. The transcript has 3 exons. The record is from RefSeq and is a predicted model, not a curated record. NCBI's taxonomy places the organism in Eukaryota, Metazoa, Cnidaria, Anthozoa, Malacalcyonacea, Nephtheidae.
AAUGCAACAUCUGAUCAGGCAAUAACUGAAGAAGAAGAGGAGGAAUUAAAUAAUGUAGAAGAAAGGCUGAUUAAUCUAGGAAAAGAUUUUGUAAACACCUUGUGUGGUAGCACCAAUGAAUCAGAAAGAAAAAAUGAGCCUGCCCCUUCCUUCUUAUCACCAAACACAGCAAAAUGGUGGACAACACUAACACCAAAUAGAAAAGAAGUAUUUCAAAAGG